This 461-nucleotide ribosomal RNA is filed under the name uncultured bacterium. Its description in RNAcentral is "partial 16S ribosomal RNA". It matches the Rfam family "Bacterial small subunit ribosomal RNA", at positions 338 to 795 of the family's 1533-position model. The record is from RNAcentral.
CCUACGGGUGGCAGCAGUGAGGAAUAUUGGUCAAUGGGCGGAAGCCUGAACCAGCCAAGUCGCGUGAGGGAAUAAGGCCCUACGGGUCGUAAACCUCUUUUGCCGGGGAGCAAGGGCGGGGACGUGUCCCGGCCCGGAGAGUACCCGGAGAAAAAGCAUCGGCUAACUCCGUGCCAGCAGCCGCGGUAAUACGGAGGAUGCGAGCGUUAUCCGGAUUUACUGGGCGUAAAGCGCUCGUAGGCGGUAUGUCAAGUCAAGGGUGAAAUCCCCGCGCCCAACGUGGGAACUGCCUUUGAAACUGGCAAACUGGAGUGUGUGAGAGGAUAGUGGAAUUCCAGGUGUAGGGGUGAAAUGCGUAGAUAUUAGGAGGAACACCAGUGGCGAAGGCGGCUUACUGGCCUGUAACUGACGUUGAGGCUCGAAAGCGUGGGGAGCAAACAGGAUUAGAUACCCGAGUAGUC